Long non-coding RNA from Vespula pensylvanica (western yellowjacket), 900 nucleotides. RefSeq lists it as uncharacterized. NCBI's taxonomy places the organism in Eukaryota, Metazoa, Arthropoda, Insecta, Hymenoptera, Vespidae. The transcript is spliced from 3 exons. The record is from RefSeq and is a predicted model, not a curated record.
AGAGAGAGAGAGAGAGAGAGAGAGAGAGAGAGAGAGAGAGAAAUAUUGUUAUCUUAAACUUGUUAUUGUUUUUCCUGGACGCUGAUCAAUUAAAUAAAUUUUUAAAGAAUCGUCCAUAACUCACUUCGGCUCCGAUUAAAAGAUUAAAUAUUUUAUGGAAAGGAGAAGUUUAAUUAAAAAGAGAAAGCAAAUAGUGCGUAAUUUUACGACCGUAUGUAUUACUUAUGAUGCAGUUGCAUUAAAUAAAAAGAAAAAAAAAAAAAAAAAGAAGAAAAUAAUAAAACCGAAACAGCUAUCUUAUAUUAAAAGUCGACCAAUAUUUUUUUUCGAAGAAAAAAUAAAUAAUAUACCGUAGAGAUAUAAUGUGAAAUAUAAUAUUCCGUAGGGUCAAUCAUAAAUUUGUAUUGUUUGUUUAAUCCAUUGUUUUUUUCCAAUUAUUUAUAAUUUAAUAUUUAUUUUUCAGCUUAAGAAUCACCAUAAACAUACGCGAAUUGACUUAUACAUGAAUCCUGUACGUUUUCCUGCUUCUUCAUUGAUGUUCAUAAUCCAUUUCAUCAUCCUGUUGUUGAUCCUGCUAAAUCCUUCGUAAGAUGAAAUCUGUAUCUACAUUUUGUAGCAGAAAUUAAGAGAUGACGAAUGUACUCGUCAGACAAAUAACAGAUUAAAGUAGCUGAGUAUGAUCAGACAAAGAAGAGAUAUCGGUAAAACGUCGGUAAAACAAAUACCUACUAGUAUUGAUUGCAGUUAAACAAGAAUAUGCCAUUAAUGACAAUUAGCUGACUCGAUAUCGACAGAAAAUAUUUUUCAAGCUUGCUUUGGAUGAGGCGUUGUAGUCGAUGGUUCUGAUCGGAAACACGAAAGCAGGAAACCAGUGUACAUCGCAAAGACCACUGUAGUCGC